UUAAGCGACUAAGCGUACACGGUGGAUGCCCUGGCAGUCAGAGGCGAUGAAGGACGUGCUAAUCUGCGAAAAGCGUCGGUAAGGUGAUAUGAACCGUUAUAACCGGCGAUGUCCGAAUGGGGAAACCCAGUGUGAUUCGUCACACUAUCGUUAACUGAAUACAUAGGUUAACGAGGCGAACCGGGGGAACUGAAACAUCUAAGUACCCCGAGGAAAAGAAAUCAACCGAGAUUCCCCCAGUAGCGGCGAGCGAACGGGGAGCAGCCCAGAGUCUGAAUCAGCUUGUGUGUUAGUGGAACGGUCUGGAAAGUCCGACGGUACAGGGUGAUAGUCCCGUACACCAAAAUGCACAGGYUGUGAACUCGAAGAGUAGGGCGGGACACGUGGUAUCCUGUCUGAAUAUGGGGGGACCAUCCUCCAAGGCUAAAUACUCCUGACUGACCGAUAGUGAACCAGUACCGUGAGGGAAAGGCGAAAAGAACCCCGGCGAGGGGAGUGAAAAAGAACCUGAAACCGUGUACGUACAAGCAGUGGGAGCACCUUCGGGUGUGACUGCGUACCUUUUGUAUAAUGGGUCAGCGACUUAUAUUCUGUAGCAAGGUUAACCGUAUAGGGGAGCCGCAGGGAAACCGAGUCUUAACUGGGCGUUAAGUUGCAGGGUAUAGACCCGAAACCCGGUGAUCUAGCCAUGGGCAGGUUGAAGGUUGGGUAACACUAACUGGAGGACCGAACCGACUAAUGUUGAAAAAUUAGCGGAUGACUUGUGGCUGGGGGUGAAAGGCCAAUCAAACCGGGAGAUAGCUGGUUCUCCCCGAAAGCUAUUUAGGUAGCGCCUCGUGAAYUCAUCUUCGGGGGUAGAGCACUGUUUCGGCUAGGGGGUCAUCCCGACUUACCAACCCGAUGCAAACUACGAAUACCGAAGAAUGUUAUCACGGGAGACACACGGCGGGUGCUAACGUCCGUCGUGAAGAGGGAAACAACCCAGACCGCCAGCUAAGGUCCCAAAGUCAUGGUUAAGUGGGAAACGAUGUGGGAAGGCACAGACAGCCAGGAUGUUGGCUUAGAAGCAGCCAUCAUUUAAAGAAAGCGUAAUAGCUCACUGGUCGAGUCGGCCUGCGCGGAAGAUGUAACGGGGCUAAACCAUGCACCGAAGCUGCGGCAGCGACACUAUGYGUUGUUGGGUAGGGGAGCGUUCUGUAAGCCUGCGAAGGUGGCCUGUGAGGGCUGCUGGAGGUAUCAGAAGUGCGAAUGCUGACAUAAGUAACGAUAAAGCGGGUGAAAAGCCCGCUCGCCGGAAGACCAAGGGUUCCUGUCCAACGUUAAUCGGGGCAGGGUGAGUCGACCCCUAAGGCGAGGCCGAAAGGCGUAGUCGAUGGGAAACAGGUUAAUAUUCCUGUACUUGGUGUUACUGCGAAGGGGGGACGGAGAAGGCUAUGUUAGCCGGGCGACGGUUGUCCCGGUUUAAGCAUGUAGGCGGAGGUUCCAGGUAAAUCCGGUACCUUUUAACGCUGAGGUGUGAUGACGAGGCACUACGGUGCUGAAGUAACAAAUGCCCUGCUUCCAGGAAAAGCCUCUAAGCAUCAGGUAACAUYAAAUCGUACCCCAAACCGACACAGGUGGUCAGGUAGAGAAUACCAAGGCGCUUGAGAGAACUCGGGUGAAGGAACUAGGCAAAAUGGUGCCGUAACUUCGGGAGAAGGCACGCUGGUGUGUAGGUGAAGUCCCUGCGGAYGGAGCUGAGACCAGUCGAAGAUACCAGCUGGCUGCAACUGUUUAUUAAAAACACAGCACUGUGCAAACACGAAAGUGGACGUAUACGGUGUGACGCCUGCCCGGUGCCGGAAGGUUAAUUGAUGGGGUUAUCCGUAAGGAGAAGCUCUUGAUCGAAGCCCCGGUAAACGGCGGCCGUAACUAUAACGGUCCUAAGGUAGCGAAAUUCCUUGUCGGGUAAGUUCCGACCUGCACGAAUGGCGUAAUGAUGGCCAGGCUGUCUCCACCCGAGACUCAGUGAAAUUGAACUCGCUGUGAAGAUGCAGUGUACCCGCGGCAAGACGGAAAGACCCCGUGAACCUUUACUAUAGCUUGACACUGAACAUUGAGCCUUGAUGUGUAGGAUAGGUGGGAGGCUUUGAAGCGUGGACGCCAGUCUGCGUGGAGCCAACCUUGAAAUACCACCCUUUAAUGUUUGAUGUUCUAACGUWGGCCCCUGACCGGGGUUGCGGACAGUGUCUGGUGGGUAGUUUGACUGGGGCGGUCUCCUCCCAAAGAGUAACGGAGGAGCACGAAGGUUAGCUAAUCCUGGUCGGACAUCAGGAGGUUAGUGCAAUGGCAUAAGCUAGCUUGACUGCGAGCGUGACGGCGCGAGCAGGUGCGAAAGCAGGUCAUAGUGAUCCGGUGGUUCUGAAUGGAAGGGCCAUCGCUCAACGGAUAAAAGGUACUCCGGGGAUAACAGGCUGAUACCGCCCAAGAGUUCAUAUCGACGGCGGUGUUUGGCACCUCGAUGUCGGCUCAUCACAUCCUGGGGCUGAAGUAGGUCCCAAGGGUAUGGCUGUUCGCCAUUUAAAGUGGUACGCGAGCUGGGUUUAGAACGUCGUGAGACAGUUCGGUCCCUAUCUGCCGUGGGCGCUGGAGAAUUGAGGGGGGCUGCUCCUAGUACGAGAGGACCGGAGUGGACGCAUCACUGGUGUUCGGGUUGUCAUGCCAAUGGCACUGCCCGGUAGCUAAAUGCGGAAGAGAUAAGUGCUGAAAGCAUCUAAGCACGAAACUUGCCCCGAGAUGAGUUCUCCCUGAGACUWUAAGUCUCCUGAAGGAACGUUGAAGACGACGACGUUGAUAGGCCGGGUGUGUAAGCGCAGCGAUGCGUUGAGCUAACCGGUACUAAUGAACCGUGAGGCUUAACCU
This 2901-nucleotide ribosomal RNA is filed under the name Klebsiella variicola. Its description in RNAcentral is "23S ribosomal RNA". Lineage: Bacteria; Pseudomonadati; Pseudomonadota; Gammaproteobacteria; Enterobacterales; Enterobacteriaceae. The record is from RNAcentral.